CGUUUAAGGGGCAAUGUUGUACGUUGUAUGUAUCAUUGAAACCAUAAGCGUAUAGCUUUUCCCCUUUGAUG
Molecule: microRNA precursor, 71 nt
Filed under: Megaselia scalaris
Lineage: Eukaryota; Metazoa; Arthropoda; Insecta; Diptera; Phoridae
Description: mir-965 microRNA precursor family
Rfam family: mir-965 microRNA precursor family
Source: Rfam by way of RNAcentral